Long non-coding RNA from Papilio xuthus (Asian swallowtail), 141 nucleotides. RefSeq lists it as uncharacterized. NCBI's taxonomy places the organism in Eukaryota, Metazoa, Arthropoda, Insecta, Lepidoptera, Papilionidae. The record is from RefSeq and is a predicted model, not a curated record. The transcript is spliced from 5 exons.
UUCCAGGAGAGUGAAGAGUAUCAAGAUAAUUCAAUCCAAGAAGGCGAUGGUAUGUGCAUCAAAAUCCACGGCUUAGAAGUUUGUUUUCCCACCGAAGACCAGAGGCCAAAAAAAAGACCUGGUAACAGACUUGGACGAAAA